This 309-nucleotide long non-coding RNA is filed under the name Physcomitrium patens. RNAcentral's name for it is "long non-coding RNA (PPAT_LNC011910)". The record is from RNAcentral. Lineage: Eukaryota; Viridiplantae; Streptophyta; Bryopsida; Funariales; Funariaceae.
GGUUUUCCAAGCCUCUCUCUCUUUUUUUUUUGAUGAGGACAAAACCAUGCCAAAGUGUGGUCUCAAUCUUAACCCUAAUAUUAUUUUUUUGCUUCUUUCUUGAUCUUAGAUCUCAUUGUGAACUUUAGGAACAUAUGAGCAUUGGUUUUUUGUCAUGGGUGGUGCUUUUUGUGGUUUAAAAGGCACCUCUUUGCAAUUAGUGGUCACGAAUCAUUUCACUUGAAGGGUCAAAAGGGUUUGAAGGGCCACGGAUUUUCUUCAAUCAUUCUAUGGUUUUUUUACGAUUUUUAAGUGAAGAUUUUUUAUCAC